UGCAGUGAACGUUCAGACUAGACCGGAACUCAGUGAAAAACUAGCACAAUCUGAGCAAGCAAGAGAAGCACAUCGGCAAGAUAAUCAAGUCCAUCAUGAAGAAAAUUGAAAGGUUAACAAUCAUAUGAGCCGAAGGGAAGAAGAAUGGGCACAGAUGAAGAAGCAUAUGAGUGCUAACUGUAGCCAACAUGACUCACCAGGAUCAGCUGGAACAAGAGAUCAUGAUGGAUAUUAGAAGCAAGACAUGUGAAUGGUUCAUGAGGAUGUCACCGUUGCAUGAAUAUGCAUAUGCUUUUGCUUCUAGUUUUUUUUUUACAGGAUGGACCUUAAGUUAGCCUGUGUUAGUUUCAUGUCUUGGAUUGUUUCUUCUCCAUCUCAAAGAUGUUGAACUAUGUUUGUCAUUGCAAAUAUGAAUUCUCCUAUUAUCAAAAGAUAUAUCAUUCUUCUA
Setaria italica (foxtail millet) is the source of this 448-nucleotide long non-coding RNA. RefSeq lists it as uncharacterized. The record is from RefSeq and is a predicted model, not a curated record. The transcript has 2 exons. Lineage: Eukaryota; Viridiplantae; Streptophyta; Magnoliopsida; Poales; Poaceae.